GCCAGAAAUCUAGCCUAAAACAUAAUCAAAUUAACACACCUUUUAUAGUCUUUUUAGUUAAAACAUUUUAACUGUUAAGUAGAGGAGAUCAAAAACACCUAAGAGCUUAAGAGANCAGUACCGCAAGGGAAACCAUGAAAUAAAAAUGAAAUAAAUCUAAAGCCUAUAAUAGCA
RNAcentral lists this ribosomal RNA (174 nucleotides) under Mercurana myristicapalustris. RNAcentral's name for it is "partial 16S ribosomal RNA". Lineage: Eukaryota; Metazoa; Chordata; Amphibia; Anura; Rhacophoridae. The record is from RNAcentral.